CGUUUCGGAUCUGGGCCGUAAGCGCACCCUACGGGUUUCCUCAGUCAGAUUGUUUAAUCCCCUGGCUCACCGGGGUACUGCCUCUGAUACUGGCUUAACUUGAGUCGCUUAGAGGGGGGUAGAAUUCCAGGUGUACCGGUGAAAUGCGUAGAGAUCUGGAGGAAUACCCGUGGCGAAGGCGGCCCCCUGGACCACAACUGACGCUCACGUGCGAAAGCGUGGGGAGCAAACAGGAUUACAUACCCUGGUAGUCCACGCCGUAAACCAUGUCUACUUGCAGGUUGUGCCCUUGAUGCCCCCCUUCCGGAACUAACGCGUUUAGUCGACCGCCUGGGGAGUACCGCGGCGAGGCUGGAACUCUUAUGAAUUGACGGGGGCCCGCACCAGCGGUGGAUCUUGUGGCUUUAAUUCCAUACAACGCCUAGAACCCUCCGUAUUACCCCGGCCUGCUG
Molecule: ribosomal RNA, 452 nt
Filed under: Escherichia coli
Lineage: Bacteria; Pseudomonadati; Pseudomonadota; Gammaproteobacteria; Enterobacterales; Enterobacteriaceae
Description: bacterial SSU rRNA
Rfam family: Bacterial small subunit ribosomal RNA
Source: RNAcentral